GCCGGCUUGGUGGAAUGGUAGACACGAAGGACUCAAAAUCCUUUGCCCCUAAAAGCGUCUGAGUUCAAGUCUCAGAGCCGGUA
RNAcentral lists this transfer RNA (83 nucleotides) under Treponema sp. RNAcentral describes it as "tRNA-Leu". It matches the Rfam family "tRNA". Rfam says of the family: Transfer RNA (tRNA) molecules are approximately 80 nucleotides in length. Lineage: Bacteria; Pseudomonadati; Spirochaetota; Spirochaetia; Treponematales; Treponemataceae. The record is from RNAcentral. RNAcentral also lists the same sequence under 1 other name.